CUACUGACCUGGCAUGGGAGAUACCAUGAUCAUGAAGGUGGUUUUCCCAGGGCGAGGCUUAUCCAUUGCACUCCGGAUGUGCUGACCCCUGCGAUUUCCCCAAAUGUGGGGGGGGAAAUAAAUAAAAUAAAAAUUGUAAAUUUUUUCAAAUUUUAAUCU
Small nuclear RNA from Echinops telfairi (small Madagascar hedgehog), 159 nucleotides. RefSeq annotates it as U1 spliceosomal RNA. The record is from RefSeq and is a predicted model, not a curated record. The transcript has a single exon. Lineage: Eukaryota; Metazoa; Chordata; Mammalia; Afrosoricida; Tenrecidae.